AAUCCCGUGAACCAUCGAGUCUUUGAACGCAAGUUGCGCCCGAAGCCUUCGGGCCGAGGGCACGCCUGCCUGGGCGUCACGCAUCGCNNCCCCCCCNCCCCCCGCUCCCNGGAGCGGGGGGUCGGAGACUGGCCUCCCGUGCGCUCCCGUCGCGCGGCCGGCCC
RNAcentral lists this ribosomal RNA (164 nucleotides) under Justicia micrantha. Its description in RNAcentral is "5.8S ribosomal RNA". The stretch from base 1 to 79 matches the Rfam family "5.8S ribosomal RNA", at positions 78 to 154 of the family's 154-position model. The record is from RNAcentral. Lineage: Eukaryota; Viridiplantae; Streptophyta; Magnoliopsida; Lamiales; Acanthaceae.